Molecule: non-coding RNA, 123 nt
Organism: Notechis scutatus (mainland tiger snake)
Lineage: Eukaryota; Metazoa; Chordata; Lepidosauria; Squamata; Elapidae
Source: RefSeq, a predicted model, not a curated record
UGUCUUGUCUUUGUUAAAGCUUACCUGGGUUUUGGCUUCCUCCUAACUGUGGUUGCCGCAUUAUCUGAUAGAAAUCUGCAAUUUAUCAUCCUUGCCUGCCGUCUUAAUUAUUUCAGCAUGGUU